CUGGGAAGGCUGCAGGAUCUGUGUGUGAGAGACACGCUUUCUGAUGCAAUGCUUCCACAUAAUACAUUGCUGCAUCUCUUACUCCUUGCUGUACUGCCCGGACCAUCCUUAUAUGCAUUGUCGCUCUCUCUAUGACAAAUUUUGGCUUCUCUGCAGCUACUGCACAACUGUCCAUCACCUCUGAUGCUCUCUCCAGGUCACUCCCUCCCCAGUGAUAAUGGAUCCCGCCAUUGAGAAAUAGUGGCUGUCGCUAUGGAGGUGUUUAAGUGUUACUAUGGUCUCUUGGAGAUGGAUUCUCCGGCACCAUGUCCUUCCUGUAUUUAAACAUAAGGAACACAGUGGUUUGAAUAUGCUACAUCCGGUGACGUCGGGAGUUGAUGGGGCUAAGACACGCAGUGGAAUGCAUACGUCACAUCCAAUAACAUACGGAAGUGAAAUGCCGCACUAAAAAGUGCGGUGGAAUGCAUAGGCAUCAUUUCCUGGAAAUUCCGGAAGUGACAUGGAGACCAAGAACGGGAUCAUUGUUUUUUAUUCGAUACGAGUAAUUCUUUUUAUUUUGGUGCCUUUUAUCACAUGGGGAAGUGUGCCUGAAUGUUUUAUGCUGUAUAAAAAUCUUGAUUUGGACUAUUGCCACCAAGCUUCUGACAAAGGACCCAACGGUCCGAAACACGUUAAGCUGGUGGAUUUUCUGAACACCCAGGGGACUUUCUUCUUGUGGAUACUCACCUCUCCAUUUAAAUAUCUGAAAGGACAUUAACUACGUUGAUGGAUGCACCGGCUGGUUCCGUUGUUCGUCGUGUGUGAGAUUCCUUAAACCCCUGUGGAGGUUCUAUUACAUGCUUCAAUUCUAUAUGUUUAUUGUAAGUGCAUCCUUUAAAAUAAAUGGUUACUUUUAUAUAACAAUGUUGCACUAAAUUCUUCUCCCUUCUAAGUUCUAUGUACUUCAGUGAAGGAAGAGAAACUAAGAGAGCAGCAUAUUGGGAGGAUGAUAAGCAGUUUAUACAUUGAUUAAAUGUGAGUGUGAUUACCUAACCAGGUGUCAUUAAUACACUAUCUAAACGGUGUUACAAUAAGUGCUGUCUCACUCUUCUGAGGUACAAGUGUGGAGUGUUUUGAAUUCUAUAUACUUCAGUGGAAGAAAAGAAACUAUGGGAGCAUCAUGGU
This is a long non-coding RNA of Pseudophryne corroboree (corroboree frog), 1164 nucleotides long. RefSeq lists it as uncharacterized. The transcript has 3 exons. The record is from RefSeq and is a predicted model, not a curated record. Lineage: Eukaryota; Metazoa; Chordata; Amphibia; Anura; Myobatrachidae.